RNAcentral lists this ribosomal RNA (435 nucleotides) under uncultured bacterium. Its description in RNAcentral is "bacterial SSU rRNA". It matches the Rfam family "Bacterial small subunit ribosomal RNA", at positions 29 to 510 of the family's 1533-position model. The record is from RNAcentral.
AACGAACGCUGGCGGCAUGCCUAACACAUGCAAGUCGAACGAGACCUUCGGGUCUAGUGGCGCACGGGUGCGUAACGCGUGGGAAUCUGCCCUUGGGUUCGGAAUAACAGUUAGAAAUGACUGCUAAUACCGGAUGAUGCCUUCGGACCAAAGAUUUAUCGCCCAAGGAUGAGCCCGCGUAAGAUUAGCUAGUUGGUGAGGUAAUGGCUCACCAAGGCGACGAUCUAGUCUGGUCUGAGAGGAUGAUCAGCCACACUGGGACUGAGACACGGCCCAGACUCCUACGGGAGGCAGCAGUGGGGAAUAUUGGACAAUGGGCGAAAGCCUGAUCCAGCAAUGCCGCGUGAGUGAUGAAGGCCUUAGGGUUGUAAAGCUCUUUUACCAGGGAUGAUAAUGACAGUACCUGGAGAAUAAGCUCCGGCUAACUCCGUGCCA